AAUACAUGCAAGUCGAGCGAACGGACGAGAAGCUUGCUUCUCUGAUGUUAGCGGCGGACGGGUGAGUAACACGUGGAUAACCUACCUAUAAGACUGGGAUAACUUCGGGAAACCGGAGCUAAUACCGGAUAAUAUUUUGAACCGCAUGGUUCAAAAGUGAAAGACGGUCUUGCUGUCACUUAUAGAUGGAUCCGCGCUGCAUUAGCUAGUUGGUAAGGUAACGGCUUACCAAGGCAACGAUGCAUAGCCGACCUGAGAGGGUGAUCGGCCACACUGGAACUGAGACACGGUCCAGACUCCUACGGGAGGCAGCAGUAGGGAAUCUUCCGCAAUGGGCGAAAGCCUGACGGAGCAACGCCGCGUGAGUGAUGAAGGUCUUCGGAUCGUAAAACUCUGUUAUUAGGGAAGAACAUAUGUGUAAGUAACUGUGCACAUCUUGACGGUACCUAAUCAGAAAGCCACGGCUAACUACGUGCCAGCAGCCGCGGUAAUACGUAGGUGGCAAGCGUUAUCCGGAAUUAUUGGGCGUAAAGCGCGCGUAGGCGGUUUUUUAAGUCUGAUGUGAAAGCCCACGGCUCAACCGUGGAGGGUCAUUGGAAACUGGAAAACUUGAGUGCAGAAGAGGAAAGUGGAAUUCCAUGUGUAGCGGUGAAAUGCGCAGAGAUAUGGAGGAACACCAGUGGCGAAGGCGACUUUCUGGUCUGUAACUGACGCUGAUGUGCGAAAGCGUGGGGAUCAAACAGGAUUAGAUACCCUGGUAGUCCACGCCGUAAACGAUGAGUGCUAAGUGUUAGGGGGUUUCCGCCCCUUAGUGCUGCAGCUAACGCAUUAAGCACUCCGC
Molecule: ribosomal RNA, 841 nt
Filed under: Staphylococcaceae bacterium ACEMC 3-9
Lineage: Bacteria; Bacillati; Bacillota; Bacilli; Caryophanales; Staphylococcaceae
Description: bacterial SSU rRNA
Rfam family: Bacterial small subunit ribosomal RNA
Source: RNAcentral